RNAcentral lists this ribosomal RNA (429 nucleotides) under Actinomycetes bacterium. RNAcentral's name for it is "Actinobacteria bacterium partial 16S ribosomal RNA". It matches the Rfam family "Bacterial small subunit ribosomal RNA", at positions 355 to 776 of the family's 1533-position model. Lineage: Bacteria; Bacillati; Actinomycetota; Actinomycetes. The record is from RNAcentral.
UAGGGAAUCUUCCGCAAUGGGCGAAAGCCUGACGGAGCAACGCCGCGUGAGUGAUGAAGGUCUUCGGAUCGUAAAACUCUGUUAUUAGGGAAGAACAAAUGUGUAAGUAACUAUGCACGUCUUGACGGUACCUAAUCAGAAAGCCACGGCUAACUACGUGCCAGCAGCCGCGGUAAUACGUAGGUGGCAAGCGUUAUCCGGAAUUAUUGGGCGUAAAGCGCGCGUAGGCGGUUUUUUAAGUCUGAUGUGAAAGCCCACGGCUCAACCGUGGAGGGUGAUUAGAAACUGGAAAACUUGAGUGCAGAAGAGGAAAGUGGAAUUCCAUGGGUAGCGGUGAAAUGCGCAGAGAUAUGGAGGAACACCAGUGGCGAAGGCGACUUUCUGGUCUGUAACUGACGCUGAUGUGCGAAAGCGUGGGGAUCAAACAGG